ACCUGCGGAGGUCAUUAAUGAUUGAAUCGUUGCCUUCUGUGCUGGCACYGCAAGUGCACGUCGGUGACUUUCAUCCAAUACCCUGUGAACCUUUGGCCUCUUGCUAGCUUUGGCCGGCAGAGGAAUUUACACACUCGCAUGUAAUGAAAUACUGUCGUGCGCAAGCACUAAUGUACAACUUUCAACAACGGAUCUCUUGGCUCUCGCAUCGAUGAAGAACGCAGCGAAAUGCGAUAAGUAAUGUGAAUUGCAGAAUUCAGUGAAUCAUCGAAUCUUUGAACGCACCUUGCACCCUUUGGCAUUCCGAAGGGUAUGCUCGUUUGAGUGUCAUUGUACUCUCACACUCGUAAUCUUCGAUCGCGAGCGGUGGACUUGGGUCUGCUGCUUACCCGCGGCUCACCUCAAAUCGAUUCGUGCACCUCUUGGUUGGACAUAGUACGGCGUGAUAAGUGUCUUCGCCGGCGCCUCAUUGGAGGGUGGCCGAUCGGGAGCUUGUGCUUCAAACCGUCCUCGGACAACAACUGACAACUUGACCUCAAAUCGAGUAGGACUACCCGCUGAACUUAAGCAUAUCAAUAAGCGGAGGA
RNAcentral lists this ribosomal RNA (587 nucleotides) under uncultured Sebacina. Its description in RNAcentral is "eukaryotic LSU rRNA". The stretch from base 177 to 330 matches the Rfam family "5.8S ribosomal RNA". Lineage: Eukaryota; Fungi; Basidiomycota; Agaricomycetes; Sebacinales; Sebacinaceae. The record is from RNAcentral.